This 465-nucleotide ribosomal RNA is filed under the name Vreelandella stevensii. RNAcentral describes it as "partial 16S ribosomal RNA". It matches the Rfam family "Bacterial small subunit ribosomal RNA", at positions 338 to 795 of the family's 1533-position model. Lineage: Bacteria; Pseudomonadati; Pseudomonadota; Gammaproteobacteria; Oceanospirillales; Halomonadaceae. The record is from RNAcentral.
CCUACGGGUGGCAGCAGUGGGGAAUAUUGGACAAUGGGGGGAACCCUGAUCCAGCCAUGCCGCGUGUGUGAAGAAGGCCCUCGGGUUGUAAAGCACUUUCAGUGAGGAAGAACGCCUGGUGGUUAAUACCCAUCAGGAAAGACAUCACUCACAGAAGAAGCACCGGCUAACUCCGUGCCAGCAGCCGCGGUAAUACGGAGGGUGCGAGCGUUAAUCGGAAUUACUGGGCGUAAAGCGCGCGUAGGUGGCUUGAUAAGCCGGUUGUGAAAGCCCCGGGCUCAACCUGGGAACGGCAUCCGGAACUGUCAAGCUAGAGUGCAGGAGAGGAAGGUAGAAUUCCCGGUGUAGCGGUGAAAUGCGUAGAGAUCGGGAGGAAUACCAGUGGCGAAGGCGGCCUUCUGGACUGACACUGACACUGAGGUGCGAAAGCGUGGGUAGCAAACAGGAUUAGAUACCCCAGUAGUU